GACGAACGCUGGCGGCGUGCCUAAUACAUGCAAGUCGAACGAACGGAUAAAGAGCUUGCUCUUUUGAAGUUAGUGGCGGACGGGUGAGUAACACGUGGGUAACCUGCCUCACAGCUGGGGAUAACAUCGAGAAAUCGAUGCUAAUACCGAAUGUGCUGAACAUCAUAAGAUGUUCAAGUGAAAGACGGUUUCGGCUGUCACUGUGAGAUGGACCCGCGCUGGAUUAGCUAGUUGGUAAGGUAAUGGCUUACCAAGGCGACGAUCCAUAGCCGACCUGAGAGGGUGAUCGGCCACAUCGGGACUGAGACACGGCCCAAACUCCUACGGGAGGCAGCAGUAGGGAAUCUUCGGCAAUGGACGAAAGUCUGACCGAGCAACGCCGCGUGAGCGAAGAAGGCCUUCGGGUCGUAAAGCUCUGUUGUUAGAGAAGAACAUGGGUGAGAGUAACUGUUCACCCCUUGACGGUAUCUAACCAGAAAGCCACGGCUAACUACGUG
RNAcentral lists this ribosomal RNA (497 nucleotides) under uncultured bacterium. RNAcentral describes it as "partial 16S ribosomal RNA". It matches the Rfam family "Bacterial small subunit ribosomal RNA", at positions 28 to 507 of the family's 1533-position model. The record is from RNAcentral.